Molecule: ribosomal RNA, 492 nt
Filed under: uncultured bacterium
Lineage: Bacteria
Description: partial 16S ribosomal RNA
Rfam family: Bacterial small subunit ribosomal RNA
Source: RNAcentral
AGUGAACGCUGGCGGUAGGCCUAACACAUGCAAGUCGAACGGCAGCACAGUAAGAGCUUGCUCUUACGGGUGGCGAGUGGCGGACGGGUGAGGAAUACAUCGGAAUCUACUUUUUCGUGGGGGAUAACGUAGGGAAACUUACGCUAAUACCGCAUACGACCUACGGGUGAAAGCAGGGGAUCUUCGGACCUUGCGCGAUUGAAUGAGCCGAUGUCGGAUUAGCUAGUUGGCAGGGUAAAGGCCCACCAAGGCGACGAUCCGUAGCUGGUCUGAGAGGAUGAUCGGCCACACUGGAACUGAGAUACGGUCCAGACUCCUACGGGAGGCAGCAGUGGGGAAUAUUGGACAAUGGGCGCAAGCCUGAUCCAGCCAGACCGCGUGGGUGAAGAAGGCCUUCGGGUUGUAAAGCCCUUUUGUUGGGAAAGAAAAGCAGCAGGUUAAUACCCCGCUGUUCUGACGGUACCCAAAGAAUAAGCACCGGCUAACUUCGUG